CCCUUAGAUGUCCGGGGCUGCACACGCGCUACACUGAAGGAAUCAGCGUGCUAAAACCAUUGUCGAAAGGCAUUGGUAAACCCAUUAAAAUCCUACGUGAUUGGGAUCGGGAAUUGCAAUUAUUUCCCUUGAACGAGGAAUUCCCAGUAAGUGUGGGUCAUAAGCUCGCGUUGAUUACGUCCCUGCCCUUUGUACACACCGCCCGUCGCUGCCCGGGACUGAGCCGUUUCGAGAAAAGCGGGGACUGCUGCUGUCGGGGCUUUCGGGCCUUGGCUUCGGUGGAAACCGCUUUAAUCGCAGUGGCUUGAACCGGGCAAAAGUCGUANCA
This 328-nucleotide ribosomal RNA is filed under the name uncultured eukaryote. RNAcentral describes it as "partial 18S ribosomal RNA". It matches the Rfam family "Eukaryotic small subunit ribosomal RNA", at positions 1470 to 1796 of the family's 1831-position model. The record is from RNAcentral.